Molecule: small nuclear RNA, 108 nt
Organism: Catagonus wagneri (Chacoan peccary)
Lineage: Eukaryota; Metazoa; Chordata; Mammalia; Artiodactyla; Tayassuidae
Source: Ensembl
UCAUUCUCGCUUCAGCACUGCACGUACUAAAAUUGGAACAUACAGAGAAGAUGAGCAUGAACCCUGCACCAAGAUGACAAGCACAUUUGUGAAGCAUUCCAUAUUUUU